AACGAACGCUGGCGGCAUGCCUAACACAUGCAAGUCGAACGAAGCCUUCGGGCUUAGUGGCGCACGGGUGCGUAACGCGUGGGAAUCUGCCCUUGGGUUCGGAAUAACAGUUAGAAAUGACUGCUAAUACCGGAUGAUGACGAAAGUCCAAAGAUUUAUCGCCCAAGGAUGAGCCCGCGUAAGAUUAGCUUGUUGGUGGGGUAAUGGCCUACCAAGGCGACGAUCUUUAGCUGGUCUGAGAGGAUGAUCAGCCACACUGGGACUGAGACACGGCCCAGACUCCUACGGGAGGCAGCAGUGGGGAAUAUUGGACAAUGGGCGAAAGCCUGAUCCAGCAAUGCCGCGUGAGUGAUGAAGGCCUUAGGGUUGUAAAGCUCUUUUACCAGGGAUGAUAAUGACAGUACCUGGAGAAUAAGCUCCGGCUAACUCCGUG
Molecule: ribosomal RNA, 433 nt
Filed under: uncultured bacterium
Lineage: Bacteria
Description: bacterial SSU rRNA
Rfam family: Bacterial small subunit ribosomal RNA
Source: RNAcentral